UGCAGCCAUCAUUAAUGGGUUUGAAUACACCUGUGCUUUUCCUACUAUGACAUGUCAACAUGUCUGCCGUGAAAAAAGGUCUAUCUAAGCCAAUCAGAGAUCACUGCCACAGUCUGAGACGACAUGUAGAGCAAGUUUGAGAGAGAAAUAUGCUUUGGAAACGUGUUAAGUGUUAACGUUUAAAACGUGGACGUUAAAGCGGAGUCAGCUGUAAACGCCGGCCGCAGCUUUCACAGAGGACUUCGCUGGAGGACAGUGCUAAUUAGCCGUUGUGGCUACUGUCUUGGGACGGGGGAGCCACUCCGCCGCCGGGCCUGCGUUGCCACACAGACGGAUCGCUUGCCAAACCUUGCCUGCAGCUUGUCUCAUCAGCCCAGCUCGUCGCGGAUCGGAUGCGAAGACUCCAUAAAGAGUCAUCGGGGAGAUGUCACUGCCUGUUCCAUCCCCUGGCAUUGAAACCUCCGCCGUUGCAGCAAAAGACAAGAAGUUGCGGACGAGCUCUAGCUGCCCGCAUGACCACUGGAAUACCAAGUAACUGUGAAUGGAGACAGCAGUGCCACUUUCCACUGGCAAGAGAGACAAGGUUCAGCACCAUGUGCCGAGAAUACAAACAACACCCCGGGUCCUUCACAGAUUCAGAAAACGCUCCUGUGGUUUUCGGAUGUGGGGCUGCAGGAUAUUUUGACGAUUCACAUGACAAGCUGCUGGGUGCAUUAAAGGGCCAGUAUGUUUUUCUGCCCCAUAGCAGAACGUGACCAUGAAAUAUCCAUCGAUGGUCGAUGGGGGUUGUUGAUCAAUACCAAUGGCCGUAAAUUACUGGCACCGAGGGUUUUGUCUUUCACCUGAGUGUCAAGGUUUGCCAGAUUUGUUUUGUGGAAGUUCUUGCAGGGUUGUUUGAAGUCUUUCUAGCACAAGACCGAUCAGUAAAGGUCAUAGAGGACUAAAUGUCCCUAAAAACAUUAAACAAUAGACGUCAUCAAACACCAUACCGUAAAUUCUCCUAAAGCCCGUUUGUGUGGCUGACAUGAGCCAAUAAAGGCUUGUCCCUAAUAAAGACCGGUUUAAAAAGAUUUUGAAGAGGUUGAAUUGCCUGUAGUUUAAUGGCUUACAUGGUACAUUUAUGGAGCCAGGACAGUGACAGUAACCUGUA
This is a long non-coding RNA of Perca fluviatilis (European perch), 1150 nucleotides long. RefSeq lists it as uncharacterized. The transcript is spliced from 3 exons. The record is from RefSeq and is a predicted model, not a curated record. Lineage: Eukaryota; Metazoa; Chordata; Actinopteri; Perciformes; Percidae.